Molecule: ribosomal RNA, 497 nt
Filed under: uncultured bacterium
Lineage: Bacteria
Description: partial 16S ribosomal RNA
Rfam family: Bacterial small subunit ribosomal RNA
Source: RNAcentral
GACGAACGCUGGCGGCGUGCCUAAUACAUGCAAGUUGAGCGAUGAAGAUUGGUGCUUGCACCAAUUUGAAGAGCAGCGAACGGGGGAGUAACGCGUGGGGAAUCUGCCUUUGAGCGGGGGACAACAUUUGGAAACGAAUGCUAAUACCGCAUAAUAACUUUAAACAUAAGUUUUAAGUUUGAAAGAUGCAAUUGCAUCACUCAAAGAUGAUCCCGCGUUGUAUUAGCUAGUUGGUGAGGUAAAGGCUCACCAAGGCGAUGAUACAUAGCCGACCUGAGAGGGUGAUCGGCCACAUUGGGACUGAGACACGGCCCAAACUCCUACGGGAGGCAGCAGUAGGGAAUCUUCGGCAAUGGACGAAAGUCUGACCGAGCAACGCCGCGUGAGUGAAGAAGGUUUUCGGAUCGUAAAACUCUGUUGGUAGAGAAGAACGUUGGUGAGAGUGGAAAGCUCAUCAAGUGACGGUAACUACCCAGAAAGGGACGGCUAACUACGUG